UAUAUACAUUCGGCCGUAUAUAUAUAUAUACAUUUUGCGUGAAAUACUAAAUCGGGUUGUAGAGUGAUUGAUCGAACGAUCUAAUAAGGGGCUUUUGUUCGCAAGGUGAUGGAUAACUGAUAUGGAAAAUUUCGUGCCAAUCGGAGUUCGAAUCGAGGGUUAAUUUGAUUCGCCGGAGUUCGGUGGCGGGAUAGCUUCGACCGACUGUUUUUGGCCAAAUCGAAAGGCUUCCGGUGGUCUUUUCUGAGCAAGAUUGGUACCAUUGGGAUCGACUAAGGGAGAGGAACAUCCUUGUGUCGUCGCUUCAAUUUUCCGGUGUACCGUCGCCGGAGAAGAUGACCGGAGGGUGCCUUGAGGCUUGAGAAGAAGUGACUCGUGCGAAGUUCGAAGAAGGCACGCAAAUCGAGGCAGGCACGCAAAUCAAGGCGUACCGCGCUUGUCAAGAAGAAUUUGAAAUUUCGCCAAAGGUGAAAGCAGUGGCGCCAAGGGAAAGAAUAUCAUCGAGAUGUAGCAGCUAUGUUUAGUUUUCGUAGGUUUUGUCCAUGAUUACGAUGUUCAGAGGUUAUGUAAUAUUUUGAUAUUUUCAUGUGAAACAUCGAUUUGGUUAUUGUAAAGGAAUU
This is a long non-coding RNA of Diospyros lotus (date-plum), 620 nucleotides long. RefSeq lists it as uncharacterized. The transcript is spliced from 3 exons. Lineage: Eukaryota; Viridiplantae; Streptophyta; Magnoliopsida; Ericales; Ebenaceae. The record is from RefSeq and is a predicted model, not a curated record.